Molecule: long non-coding RNA, 447 nt
Filed under: Gossypium barbadense (sea-island cotton)
Lineage: Eukaryota; Viridiplantae; Streptophyta; Magnoliopsida; Malvales; Malvaceae
Description: long non-coding RNA (GBAR_LNC017212)
Source: RNAcentral
AAAGCUCGUCUACCCCCAACCGACCAGCCUCGCCAUUUUGUCAAUUUCCUCAAAUCAAACCCUCCAUCCAUUCAAACCCUCAAAUCCAUUCUUCUUCUUCAAAAAUUCCUAAAUUAAACCCUCCAUUCUUCUUUUUGUUCAUUAGUUCAUUCAACCUCACCAAUCAAAAUCCCUACCUCCAUUCUUCUUCUUCAUCAGUUCAUCGAGCUUUCCUAAGUUAGGCAAAUCCCUCACCAUCUCGGGUCUCCAGUCGCUCCAAAAUUGGUGUUCCUUCUGGCCGGCGCCCGCUUCGUUCUGUUCAGUCAUAUCCUCGACUUUUCUGCAUCUCCCAAGUUUGUCCCGAAACACUGAGCAAUAUAUAUAUAAAGAUAAUUGUUGCAGCAUGCUGCAUAUAUGACUGUCGGAUCAAAUUAAUCGAAAAAAAAUAUUACUGUUACUGCAUAUUUU